GGCGGCGUGCUUAACACAUGCAAGUCGAGCGAUGAAGUUUCUUCGGAAAUGAAUUAGCGGCGAACGGGUGAGGAACACGUGAAGAAUCUGCCCUCCACUUUGGGAUAACACCGGGAAACCGGUGCUAAUACCGAAUAUUGAAACAUAAGUGGCAUCACUGAGUUUUGAAAGAAUUUCGGUGGAGGAUGACUUCGCGGCCUAUCAGCUAGUUGGUGAGGUAAUGGCUCACCAAGGCAACGACGGGUAGCCGGCCUGAGAGGGCGACCGGCCACACUGGGACUGAGACACGGCCCAGACUCCUACGGGAGGCAGCAGUGGGGAAUAUUGGGCAAUGGAGGAAACUCUGACCCAGCGACGCCGCGUGCGGGAUGAAGGCCUUCGGGUUGUAAACCGCUUUCAGUAGGGAAGAAGCGAAAGUGACGGUACCUACAAAAGAAGCACCGGCUAACUAUGUGCCAGCAGCCGCGGUAAUACAUAGGGUGCAAGCGUUGUCCGGAAUUAUUGGGCGUAAAGAGCUCGUAGGUCGUUUGUUACGUCGGAUGUGAAAACCUGAGGCUCAACCUCAGGCCUGCAUUCGAUACGGGCAAACUAGAGUUUGGUAGGGGAGACUGGAAUUCCUGGUGUAGCGGUGGAAUGCGCAGAUAUCAGGAGGAACACCAAUGGCGAAGGCAGGUCUCUGGGCCAAUACUGACACUGAGGAGCGAAAGUCUGGGGAGCGAACAGGAUUAGAUACCCUGGUAGUCCAGACCGUAAACGGUGGGCACUAGUUGUGGGAACCUUCCCACGG
RNAcentral lists this ribosomal RNA (787 nucleotides) under uncultured Actinomycetes bacterium. RNAcentral's name for it is "bacterial SSU rRNA". It matches the Rfam family "Bacterial small subunit ribosomal RNA", at positions 38 to 846 of the family's 1533-position model. The record is from RNAcentral. Lineage: Bacteria; Bacillati; Actinomycetota; Actinomycetes.